AUUGAACGCUGGCGGCAGGCCUAACACAUGCAAGUCGAGCGGAUGAAGGGAGCUUGCUCCUGGAUUCAGCGGCGGACGGGUGAGUAAUGCCUAGGAAUCUGCCUGGUAGUGGGGGAUAACGUCCGGAAACGGGCGCUAAUACCGCAUACGUCCUGAGGGAGAAAGUGGGGGAUCUUCGGACCUCACGCUAUCAGAUGAGCCUAGGUCGGAUUAGCUAGUUGGUGGGGUAAAGGCCUACCAAGGCGACGAUCCGUAACUGGUCUGAGAGGAUGAUCAGUCACAACGGAACUGAGAAACGGUCCAGACUCCUACGGGAGGCAGCAGUGGGGAAUAUUGGACAAUGGGCGAAAGCCUGAUCCAGCCAUGCCGCGUGUGUGAAGAAGGUCUUCGGAUUGUAAAGCACUUUAAGUUGGGAGGAAGGGCAGUAAGUUAAUACCUUGCUGUUUUGACGUUACCAACAGAAUAAGCACCGGCUAACUUCGUG
This 484-nucleotide ribosomal RNA is filed under the name uncultured bacterium. RNAcentral describes it as "partial 16S ribosomal RNA". It matches the Rfam family "Bacterial small subunit ribosomal RNA", at positions 30 to 507 of the family's 1533-position model. The record is from RNAcentral.